This 491-nucleotide ribosomal RNA is filed under the name uncultured bacterium. RNAcentral's name for it is "partial 16S ribosomal RNA". It matches the Rfam family "Bacterial small subunit ribosomal RNA", at positions 29 to 507 of the family's 1533-position model. The record is from RNAcentral.
GUGAACGCUGGCGGUAGGCCUAACACAUGCAAGUCGAACGGCAGCACCGUAAGAGCUUGCUCUUACGGGUGGCGAGUGGCGGACGGGUGAGGAAUACAUCGGAAUCUACUUUUUCGUGGGGGAUAACGUAGGGAAACUUACGCUAAUACCGCAUACGACCUACGGGUGAAAGCAGGGGGUCUUCGGACCUUGCGCGAUUGAAUGAGCCGAUGUCGGAUUAGCUAGUUGGGGGGGUAAAGGCCCACCAAGGCGACGAUCCGUAGCUGGUCUGAGAGGAUGAUCGGCCACACUGGAACGUAGACACCGUCCAGACUCCUGCGGUACGCAGCAGUGGGGAAUAGUGGACAAUGGUCGGAAGCCUGAUCCAGCCAGACCGCGUGGGAGAAGAAGGCCUUCGGGUUGUAAAGCCCUUUUUUUGGGAAAGAAAAGCAGCAGGUUAAUACCCCGCUGUUCUGACGGUACCCAAAGAAUAAGCACCGGCUAACUUCGUG